Molecule: ribosomal RNA, 493 nt
Filed under: uncultured bacterium
Lineage: Bacteria
Description: partial 16S ribosomal RNA
Rfam family: Bacterial small subunit ribosomal RNA
Source: RNAcentral
GACGAACGCUGGCGGCGCGCUUAACACAUGCAAGUCGAACGGAAAGGCCUGCUUUCCCUUGUGGAUUGCGGGUACUCGAGUGGCGAACGGGUGAGUAACACGUGAGUGAUCUGCCCCCAACUUGGGUAUAAGCCUGGGAAACUGGGUCUAAUUCCCGAUAGGACUGCAGGGUGGUGCCUGUGGUGGAAAACGAUUUUCUAGUGGUUGGGGAUGAGCUCGCGGCCUAUCAGCUUGUUGGUGGGGUAAUGGCCUACCAAGGCGGCGACGGGUAGCCGGCCUGAGAGGGUGGACGGCCACAUUGGGACUGAGAUACGGCCCAGACUCCUACGGGAGGCAGCAGUGGGGAAGAUUGCACAAUGGGCGGAAGCCUGAUGCAGCGACGCCGCGUGGGGGAUGACGGCCUUCGGGUUGUAAACUCCUUUCGACCGCGAGGAAGCCACCUGGUUGGAAGGGUGGUGACGGUAGUGGUAGAAGAAGCACCGGCUAACUACGC